CCCCAGGGGCUGGGGCAGCCCCCUCCGGCUCCUUACCGAGCUCAGGGCCACUGGGGACCGGCUGCGGGCUCCGGGAGCGCCCGGGGAGGCGGCGCUGGUGCUCCCCGAGAGGUUUUUAUCCUCCCCCCGUCCCUCCCUGCUCCCCGCCCCCGGCCGGCACCUCCUGCCCCUCCGUUGCCCUGCCCCGGGGGGGAAAAAGGGUCGCGGGAGUAAAUCGGGAGAGGUUUUUGGGGAGCCUCCUCACCGCAAGAGUCCCGACCUCCGGGCUGGCAGCUUUGCGUCCUAGUGGAGGGGAAGAAAGCACGGAACAAAGGUGGAAAGCAGAGGAGGAAAAGCAGAGGAUGAGUAGAAAUACCAACAGCAAAUUAUUGCAUUUCCAACCCUUCCCAAUCUUGCUUGAACUCAGGCACAGCCAAACAGCGUGGGUGUACCAGGAAGGACACAACCUCUGGAUCCUGAUAUCCCACCCCCUGCCCCUUGCACACUCGCUCAGUGCUUUGGGGUCGCUGCAGCAGUCGCAUGGAGGGGUCGCCCUCGAUGUCAGCCACGAGUAUUGGCUUUAGCAUCUCCUACGUGCACCCUGACAUCUGGCAGCAGAGAGGAAAAUCAGGAGAACUUGUUCAUGUAUUCUGAGGAUUCUGAUUUAGCUGCCUAUGGCUGAGAAGAGCAGGAGCCCAACCUUCCAAGAGCAUGCCAUGUCCUUCCCCUGGUUUUUGUGUGAAGGGGGAUCUGGCUCAUUUCUCCAGCAAGCUUACGAGUGACCAGACAACAGAUAAAACAUGAAGGGGGUUGCACCCCUCAUUCUCAGAAGGAAUAGAGAUGGGGGACAGCUGACAACCGACUCUUCAUUUACUCCAGGGGUCCCAUCACUGAUGCUUGAGUCCUAACGUGGAGGAGCUCUCCUCAAAGAGGCAGGCAGGGACGGGGUGCAGAGACUGCUGUCAGGCACCAGGGCUGCUUUGGCAGCAGGUCAGGCCCAGGAGAUGGUGUCAGUUCUUGAAGCCACCGUCAGGCACCUCUGCUUGUGAGCAAUUGUUCCCUGCGUUGUUUAUUUAUGGCUGUGGGAGGUGACUCUUGGUCUUGGAAAGCUGGAAUUUCCUGCCCUGUGUAUUUUUUAAUCCCUUAGCUGCUCCUGAGAGAUUGGAGCUAUUCCUAGAAGACAGGGGAAUGAAAACCUUUCCCUUCCAACCGUAGCUUUUUCUGAAAGAGAUAAGCUGCUAGGUUUGUUUUCCCAUUCAGGACUGGUUUAUCAAUAAACCUGAGAGCCACUUUAUUGUGUCGGCAAACCUCCCAGCGGAUAUCAGCUCUCCUGUUGUGUUUGCACGACACCUGGCACAGCACGGCUUUGAUCUCAGCUGCAACACUAAUGUGCAGGUGCCGCUACCCAAGAACUUUGUAAUUCCCCUCCCCAGCUUUCAGGAUUCCUAUUUGAAAAUGUACUUAAUGCUGCUUUUGUGGGAGGAAAUUAUGUAGGGGAAUUUCUGAAAAUGAAAUAUUAGUUAACAGCUGGAUUUUGAUAUUGAUGCAUCUUGUCUAUAUUAUUAAAAUACGUACAUGUACAGAAACUUAUAAAUACAUGAUUGCAAAUGGUAA
Anas platyrhynchos (mallard) is the source of this 1593-nucleotide non-coding RNA. Lineage: Eukaryota; Metazoa; Chordata; Aves; Anseriformes; Anatidae. The record is from RefSeq and is a predicted model, not a curated record.